UGAACACCGGGAAGGAACUGGCACUUGGAGUCCGGACAUCUGAAACUUGGACUGUGAAUGCAGCCCAUGAAAAAGAGGGUUUUCGGAAGCUUGACAUUUAUGAGGGUGAGGAGUUGACAAGCCGACAUCAGUCUCCAGAGUGAAUCCAAGGAGUGGACCCAAGACAUUUGUGUUCUGUGAUGUGGUGGCAUGUUACCUGUCAUCUCUGAUGCAUAACUCCUAAAGUGUUUGCGUCUGGGGCAGUUGUACAGAUUGCAAAGGAUAAUACUCAAGAUGUCCUCCAAGGCCAACUACUCAUCAGUUUAUUCAUGUUUCUGGGACUGGAUUCAUGAAUUCAUCCUUUCAACUAUUUCAACAAGCUUUUUCAUGUAACUAAUCUGUGGAAGGUAGAAAGGGGAAAACUGUUGGGUGCUAAAAUGACAACUGGUUCAAGACCCAAGUAGGUGCUCACAGUCAGUCCUGCAGGAAGAGAUUAGAGGAUCUAGUUACCCAGGGAUCAUCUCCAUUCCUUCCAACUGAAAGGGAAACAAACAAGGAGGAGCACGCCUGGGGAGGUUUUCACAGGCCAGGACUGGAAAUGCACAUUUCUCUUUUGCUCACAUUCCAAACUCCCAAGAUGGUCGUGGGCCACUUCCAAGAUGGUGGCAAGAGUCGUAUUCUCUGACCUGGGGUUCUUGGUCUCAUGGAUUCCAAGGAAUGGAAUCUUGCGCCAUGUGGAGGAGCGUCAGAUAAUUAGGCAGCAGUCCAACAAUUAGGUUUUGUGGAACUUUUACUAUGUCAUCUAUUUAUUGGAAUUCCCUCUGGAUACCAGGACCCCCUCCAGCAGAGCUUAAAGUUAUAGUUACAGGAAGUACAAAUUCCGUAUGUGGAUCCCUGGAAGUGUGAUGAGAAGAACCACUGUUUCCAAGAUCUAUUUAUUCUAUUUAUCAGGCCUAUAAAAUCAUGUAAUGGCCAUGGCUUCAACUAGACU
This 970-nucleotide long non-coding RNA is filed under the name Pan troglodytes (chimpanzee). Its description in RNAcentral is "lincRNA". The record is from RNAcentral. Lineage: Eukaryota; Metazoa; Chordata; Mammalia; Primates; Hominidae.